Molecule: ribosomal RNA, 516 nt
Filed under: uncultured archaeon
Lineage: Archaea
Description: bacterial SSU rRNA
Rfam family: Archaeal small subunit ribosomal RNA
Source: RNAcentral
GUGCAGCAGGCGCGAAAACUUCACACUGCGGGAAACCGCGAUGAGGGAACUCCAAGUGCUAAUACACAGUAUUAGCUGUUUAGUAGCCUAAAAAGCUAUUAGAGUAAGGGCUGGGUAAGUCUGGUGCCAGCCGCCGCGGUAAUACCAGCAGCCCAAGUGGUGAUCGUUUUUAUUGGGCCUAAAGCGUCCGUAGCCGGUCUAGUAAAUCCUUGGAUAAAUCGUGCAGCUUAACUGUACGGCUCCCGAGGAGACUGCUAGACUUGGGACUGGAGAGAGGUCGGAGGUACUCCAGGGGUAGGGGUGAAAUCCUGUAAUCCUUGGGGGACCACCAGUGGCGAAGGCGUCCGACUAGAACGGGUCCGACGGUAAGGGACGAAGCCCUGGGGCGCGAACCGGAUUAGAUACCCGGGUAGUCCAGGGUGUAAACGCUGCGGGCUUGGUGUUGGGGGUCCUACGAGGGCGUCCAGUGCCGAAGAGAAGUUGUUAAGCCCGCCGCCUGGGAGUACGUCGCAAGAC